Long non-coding RNA from Poecile atricapillus (Black-capped chickadee), 555 nucleotides. RefSeq lists it as uncharacterized. The transcript is spliced from 4 exons. The record is from RefSeq and is a predicted model, not a curated record. Lineage: Eukaryota; Metazoa; Chordata; Aves; Passeriformes; Paridae.
GCAGCAUACUUGGGCUAAGCAAUUUUAACAGAGAGAUUAACCAUGGCACCAUGUGCAGGAGUUUGGCCUCAUGAAAAUGAUACUCCAGACAAUAAUCUACUACACAUACAGCAAUCCAGGCUACCCCUGCUUCUCUAACUAGACUAGACACAGGCUGCCAGUGAACAUACUGAAAGCUGCCGAGAUCUAAGGUGGAGCCAUGCUUGGUGAACCAGGUAGGAAAAAAACAACACCUUGAUCCUUUCAGUGUCCCCUGAGCAGCAUUAUGGCAAAAGAUCUGUCAUUCAGAGAUAAAUUCCUGGCGCCAGAGAGAAUUUCAGGACUUUGCCUUACAAUUGAUUUUUUUAUGCAAAUAAAGUGAGGAUGUGUGCAAGAGUAUUCAUAUGGUAUGCUGACUGAAUUGGAAAAGUCCCAACCAGCUAUUCACUGCACUGAGUGUUGGACUUACUAUUGUAGAUUGAAACGUCUAUCCCAGCUAAAAAAGAAGAUAAUUUCCUACACAGAAGGACACAUACUCCUCAAAAGAAAAAGAUGAAGGAUACAUCCCAUUUCCUU